This 52-nucleotide small RNA is filed under the name Kordiimonas lacus. RNAcentral describes it as "Kordiimonas sp. S3-22 ffh sRNA". It matches the Rfam family "ffh sRNA". The record is from Rfam by way of RNAcentral. Lineage: Bacteria; Pseudomonadati; Pseudomonadota; Alphaproteobacteria; Kordiimonadales; Kordiimonadaceae.
GAGCUUUGGGGUGCCCACCAGUCAGCGAGUUUCGCCCACUGGUGCGAUUGGC